UACGAAGGGGGCUAGCGUUGUUCGGAAUUACUGGGCGUAAAGCGCACGUAGGCGGACCAGAAAGUUGGGGGUGAAAUCCCGGGGCUCAACCUCGGAACUGCCUUCAAAACUAUUGGUCUUGAGUUCGAGAGAGGUGAGUGGAAUUCCGAGUGUAGAGGUGAAAUUCGUAGAUAUUCGGAGGAACACCAGUGGCGAAGGCGGCUCACUGGCUCGAUACUGACGCUGAGGUGCGAAAGCGUGGGGAGCAAACGGG
RNAcentral lists this ribosomal RNA (253 nucleotides) under uncultured bacterium. RNAcentral's name for it is "partial 16S ribosomal RNA". It matches the Rfam family "Bacterial small subunit ribosomal RNA", at positions 524 to 776 of the family's 1533-position model. The record is from RNAcentral.